UACAGAGGGUGCGAGCGUUAAUCGGAAUUACUGGGCGUAAAGCGUGCGUAGGCGGUUGUCUAAGUCGGAUGUGAAAUCCCCGGGCUCAACCUGGGAAUUGCAUUCGAGACUGAACAGCUAGGGUGCGGAAGAGGGAAGCGGAAUUUCCGGUGUAGCAGUGAAAUGCGUAGAUAUCGGAAGGAACAUCAGUGGCGAAAGCGGCUUCCUGGUCCAGCACCGACGUUCAGGCACGAAAGCGUGGGGAGCAAACAGG
RNAcentral lists this ribosomal RNA (253 nucleotides) under uncultured bacterium. RNAcentral describes it as "partial 16S ribosomal RNA". It matches the Rfam family "Bacterial small subunit ribosomal RNA", at positions 524 to 776 of the family's 1533-position model. The record is from RNAcentral.